Molecule: ribosomal RNA, 525 nt
Filed under: uncultured bacterium
Lineage: Bacteria
Description: bacterial SSU rRNA
Rfam family: Bacterial small subunit ribosomal RNA
Source: RNAcentral
GAGUUUGAUCCUGGCUCAGGAUGAACGCUAGCGGCAGGCUUAACACAUGCAAGUCGAACGGUAACAGGAAAGAGCUUGCUUUUUUGCUGACGAGUGGCGCACGGGUGCGUAACGCGUAUACAAUCUACCUUUUACAGGGGGAUAGCCUUUAGAAAUGAAGAUUAAUACCCCAUAGUAUAUAUAGAUGGCAUCGUUUAUAUAUUAAAGAUUUAUUGGUAAAAGAUGAGUAUGCGUUCUAUUAGCUAAAUGGUGUGGUAACGGCACACCAUGGCAACGAUAGAUAGGGGCCCUGAGAGGGGGAUCCCCCACACUGGUACUGAGACACGGACCAGACUCCUACGGGAGGCAGCAGUGAGGAAUAUUGGACAAUGGGCGAGAGCCUGAUCCAGCCAUGCCGCGUGCAGGAAGACUGCCCUAUGGGUUGUAAACUGCUUUUAUACAGGAAGAAACACUCCCUCGUGAGGGAGCUUGACGGUACUGUAAGAAUAAGGAUCGGCUAACUCCGUGCCAGCAGCCGCGGUAAUA